UGAUGUAAACAACAACUCGCCGUAUGUUGGCUAAAGCGUUUCAUUGUCUUCGCCAGUUCGCCUGUUAUCUCAAAAGCGGCCUUGUGCUACUGUGUUUGGGAAUGACAACUCGUGAGAAGCAUCUGGUGGUGAUGUGCUAGGAGGAACAUUACUUGGAAACAAGUCGAUGUUCUCGUGAAGCUUGUGUUUAUAUUUUGUAGCGUAGUAGUUACGUGAGAUGACAACUCAGAAACGAUGUCAUAUUCGCUACAGCUGUGUGUGUUACGGACAAGUAAUUUUAGUUUCUCACCAGGUUGAAUGCGAGGACUAUAGGCCUAUAAUACACUCCGUAUUAGAAUCGCUGUGUGAUUCGGGAUCUGAUAAACUGACGUACCCCGUAGACAGCUUUCAAGUUCAUGUUUUGAUCGAUGAAGAUUUUUGUUUCGCCUGUGUUACGAAGAGAACGAAUGAACACUACAUUCCUUUCAAAUUCCUGGAUACAGUGAAGGACAGAUUUUCUGGAUUAUCUAGCCUCAUUUCCAGAUCAUUAAGGGCAAAUGAAAAUGAAUUUGAACGUGAUUUUGCUCCCGUACUUGCAUCUGUGAUGUAUGAUUUCAACAUAGGACAGGGAGACAAGUUACAGGAACUGCAGUCUCAAGUGGAGGAUGUAAAACAAGUAAUGCUUGAAAAUGUGCAGAAAGUCUUAGACCGUGGAGAGAGGCUGGAUGACCUGCUCAGCAAAACUGAAGAUCUGGAAGCUGGGGGCAACACAUUUCGUCAGAGGACAUUGCAACUGUACAAAAAAGCGAGAUGUAGAAAUUUGAAGAUGUGGAUAAUAAUUGGCAGUUUUCUUAGUGUGGUACUGACAUUGGCCGUGCUUAUAUCCCUAGGAAUCUUGCAUUUAUGAUUCACUGAGAUGAAAGACAAUUGGAAGACAUUGUUUCUGACUGCAAGAGAAGGCUGUGGUACACAUUGUUUAUAUAGUGAUCAACAUAAACCAAAGAAUUUGACAAAAUAAACAGGCGCAGCUUCAUAAUGAAUAUUCUACUUUAUAACAGUGUGUACACUGUUAUGAAACAUUGUAUUGUAUUGGAUGUUUUUAGUUGUAAUGUGAGCUGGACAGUUCACUUGGUAAGAGCACUGCAAGCCAGGUUCUAGUCCUGUUCCAUGAAACAGUUUGAAUCUGCCAGGUAGCUUUUUUUGUGCAUUUUUAGGCUUUUCAUAAUGUAUGUGCAGAAUUUUACAGUGUGACUGAGCUUUGUUUACUGUCCAAUAGUGUUGUCAUUGGGGCAUUCAUUACACAGCACGAAAGUAUGUCAUACCAUUGUAUUCUUGAAUAUUCAGAUAUCCUCCAACUGGCAUUUACUUGAAGCAUUGGCACCAGUUGAUAUUGCUGGUGAUUGAAGACUGUGUGUUACUUUUGAUCCUUAAACCCCAUCUUAAAUUCUUGCUUGAUGUAUGAUUUUAAUUUAUGUUGUUUGAGUUCACCUAUAUAAUCAACUCACACAGUGUUUGUUCUCUAUCUGUGAAGUGAAGUGUCUAUAAUUUUGCUAACACUUUGAUGUUUUUAUGACAUGUGCUUUAUCUUGGUUUUAAUUGCUCAGUGAUAAUAUGAGCAUCACUGCCACAUUAGUAUUUUUCUCUGUUCUGUGCAUGUUACUCCUUUCUAAACAGAUUGCAUUUUCCCUGCAUUUCUACUCAUAAGUUUAUUUCCUUCAGGUUCC
This is an RNA transcript of Schistocerca piceifrons (Central American locust), 1703 nucleotides long. It is a transcript of the gene named vesicle-associated membrane protein 721-like, with no coding region annotated. Lineage: Eukaryota; Metazoa; Arthropoda; Insecta; Orthoptera; Acrididae. The transcript is spliced from 5 exons. The record is from RefSeq and is a predicted model, not a curated record.